This is a long non-coding RNA of Mastomys coucha (southern multimammate mouse), 442 nucleotides long. RefSeq lists it as uncharacterized. The transcript is spliced from 3 exons. Lineage: Eukaryota; Metazoa; Chordata; Mammalia; Rodentia; Muridae. The record is from RefSeq and is a predicted model, not a curated record.
UCGGGGUUGCGCGGCCCGGCUGGCGCGAGGAGGAGCUCCUCAGCGGACCCUGAGGCGCUGCGACCUACCUCGUGCCCACGCAGCCAUCUUGCCGCCGCUCGUUCACUCUCAAAAUGGCCUCCCGGCCCCGCAGCGCUCCCCGCCGAAGCCUUGGCUCAGGCCCAGGGGACGCGGCUGGUCCUCCGGGUCUCCUUUCGGUCCCGGGCAUCGGAUUCGUGUGUGGAAGCCGUGCUCGGAGGGCCUUCCCCGGCCGGAUUCGCCGCGGGCGCCCGGUGAUUCCGUAGGCCCGGGGAGGCCUGGGACUCGAGAUAAAGGGUUUGACUUCUGGGUCCAUCUGAGGGGAGAGUACUUAACCCAAGUCUAAUAUUCUUGGACACAUGCUCAGCCAGGCCUCCAAGGAGUGUGCUCCCUCCAGACUUGAAAUAAAUUCUUUCAAAGUGCU